This 378-nucleotide ribosomal RNA is filed under the name uncultured eukaryote. RNAcentral's name for it is "SSU rRNA". It matches the Rfam family "Eukaryotic small subunit ribosomal RNA", at positions 592 to 1018 of the family's 1831-position model. The record is from RNAcentral.
CAAUAGCAUAUAUUAAAAUUGUUGCAGUUAAAAAGCUUGUAGUUGGAUCCCAGGUCCGGGCCUGUGGUCCGCCUCGCGGCGGUCACUGCUUGAUCCCGACCCAACCGCCGGUCUUCCUUUGGUGCUCUUCGCUGAGUGUCUCGGGUAUCCGGAACGUUUACUUUGAAAAAAUUAGAGUGUUCAAAGCAGGCUACGCACCUGAAUGGUUUUCGGAACGCGAGGUAAUGAUUAAGAGGGACAGACGGGGGCAUUCGUAUUGCGGUGUUAGAGGUGAAAUUCUUGGAUCACCGCAAGAUGGACGACUGCGAAAGCAUUUGCCAAGAAUGUUUUCAUUAGUCAAGAAUGAAAGUCAGAGGUUCGAAGACGAUCAGAUACCAU